CUCUCGCAUCGAGGAAGAACGUAGCAAAAUGCGAUACGUGGUGUGAAUUGCAGGAUCCCGUGAACCAUCGAGUUUUUGAACGCAAGUUGCGCCCGAAGCCUUUAGGCCGAGGGCACGUCUGCCUGGGCGUCACGCACCGUUGCCCCCCAAACCCCCUCAGUCCUCCACGGAGGAUUGGCGAGGCGCGUGGGGGGCGUAAAGUGGCUUCCCGUCGGCUUUGUCCCGCGGUUGGCCUAAAAAUGAAUCCCUAGCCGCGGUGCGCGCGGCAUUCGGUGGUCAUCGAUCCCUUUCGUUACCCCGCCGCGCGCUCACGUGCCGCGAAGGAUGUCACACUAGUAAACCCGACGCCUCGCUUUGUGAAGAGCGGAGCUUACAACGCGACCCCAGGUCAGGCGGGGCUACCCGCUGAA
Molecule: ribosomal RNA, 410 nt
Filed under: embryophyte environmental sample
Lineage: Eukaryota; Viridiplantae; Streptophyta
Description: eukaryotic LSU rRNA
Rfam family: 5.8S ribosomal RNA (bases 1-132)
Source: RNAcentral